RNAcentral lists this ribosomal RNA (1239 nucleotides) under Rasahus sulcicollis. RNAcentral describes it as "partial large subunit ribosomal RNA". The stretch from base 812 to 1175 matches the Rfam family "Archaeal large subunit ribosomal RNA", at positions 2150 to 2716 of the family's 2987-position model. The record is from RNAcentral. Lineage: Eukaryota; Metazoa; Arthropoda; Insecta; Hemiptera; Reduviidae.
AGGGAGUUGUUUAUUAUUUUUUUUAAUUUGCUGGUUUUAAUAGGAAUAACUUUUUUUAUAGUAAUUUUUAUUGAAUUAAUUUUUUGUUUGAUAGUUUAUGUGUACCGUAAGGGGUUAUUUUAUUUGUUUAAAAGUAGUUUUUAUUUGAUGUACCUUUUGUAUCAGGGUUGAUUAAAUUAUUUUAUUUAUUUAAUUUUCCCGAAGUUAGGGGAGAUAUAAUCAUGUUUUAAUUAAUGUUUCAUAAUUAUUAGUAAUAUGAUUAUUGUAAUGAUAAGUUAUUCGUUCUUGAAUAUCUGGUUUUCUAAGAUUUGAAUUUAAUUCAGGAUUAUUAAUUUAAGGCUAUACUUGAAUUUAUUUAAUGAUCUAAGACUUUCGGGGAUAAGCUCGGUAGUAUUAAUAUAACUUUAUUAUUUGUUUUAGUUCAGUAGGCUUAGAAUCGGCCAUCUAUAAUUUCGUUAUAGAUUAUCUUUAAUUUUUUUUUAUUUUUUGAAGUUUAAUUUUUUAUUAGAAUAAUAAUUUAAUUUGUCUUGUUAUGGGAAAAUGAUUAAAUUAGUAUAUUUGUAUAAUAAGAUAUAGUAAUUCGGCAAAUAUUAUAUUCGCCUGUUUAACAAAAACAUGUCCUUUUGUUUAUUUUAUUUAAGGUUUAACCUGCCCCAUGAAUUUUUUAAUGGCCGCGGUAUUUUAACUGUGCUAAGGUAGCAUAAUCAUUUGUCUUUUAAUUGGAGGCUUGAAUGAAGGGUUGGACGAGAUAUAAUCUUUCUUUAUUUUAAAAAUUAAAAUUUAUCUUUUUAGUUAAAAGACUAAAAUUUAAUUAAGGGACGAGAAGACCCUAUAGAUCUUUAUAAAUUUAUAUUUUAAGAUAUUUAGUAAAUUAUAUUUUUGAUGUAUAUAUUUUAUUUGAUUGGGGUGAUUUCAGAGCAAAAAUAACUUCUGUUUUUUAUUUCAUUAAUUUAUGAAAUUAUGAUCCAUUUAUAUUGAUUAUAAGAUUAAGUUACCUUAGGGAUAACAGCGUAAUUUUUACGGAGAGUUCAUAUCGAUGUAGGAGUUUGCGACCUCGAUGUUGGAUUAAAAUAAGUAUUAGGCGUAGUCGUUUAAUAACUAGGUCUGUUCGACCUUUAAUUUUUUACAUGAUCUGAGUUCAGACCGGCGUAAGCCAGGUCAGUUUCUAUCUUUAAUUAUAUUAUAUUUUAGUACGAAAGGACCAAAUAUAAGGAAUAUUUUCUUAAUUUGAUUAAUAUU